Long non-coding RNA from Carassius gibelio (silver crucian carp), 462 nucleotides. RefSeq lists it as uncharacterized. The transcript has 2 exons. The record is from RefSeq and is a predicted model, not a curated record. Lineage: Eukaryota; Metazoa; Chordata; Actinopteri; Cypriniformes; Cyprinidae.
CGAGCGCAAAAGCCCGCCCGCUCCAGCCUGCACACGGUGACGCGUUAAUCAAAAAACUGGCUGCAAACUAUCAAACAAUCAAGAGUUACCAGUCCCACCCUGAUUCACAUCUAUGUGUUUGUCACUUUUGCACACGGCUAAACUAACUGUGACGUGUCUGUGUGAAAAUGCACGUGCUCCCCCUGUCUGCACUCGGCGAGGAUGCUGGCAAGACGACAGUAAACAGAAGAUUUGAUUUGCACUCGCUGUUGACCGGGAGUAUUUUUCCAUUACCCAUCACUUCAUUAUAACUGAGAAGUAACGAGUGCAGAGUCUCUUUGGGUUUUGGGGGUGAAGAUCGUUCAAGCAUUAAAAUGCCAAACAAACGCGCAUUCAGAGCACAGCUAUGCUCACACAAGUGGACGUUUAAUUUUCUGUGAAAUAGCCUACCUUUCUUAAUAAAUAAUGUGUCAUUUAUAAUGA